Molecule: ribosomal RNA, 461 nt
Filed under: uncultured Bacteroidota bacterium
Lineage: Bacteria; Pseudomonadati; Bacteroidota
Description: bacterial SSU rRNA
Rfam family: Bacterial small subunit ribosomal RNA
Source: RNAcentral
AGAGUUUGAUCCUGGCUCAGGAUGAACGCUAGCUACAGGCUUAACACAUGCAAGUCGAGGGGUAGCAGGGUAGCAAUACCGCUGACGACCGGCGCACGGGUGAGUAACACGUAUCCAACCUACCGUUUACUCGGGGAUAGCCUUUCGAAAGAAAGAUUAAUACCCGAUAGUAUAAAGAGUUCGCAUGUUCUCUUUAUUAAAGGAUUCCGGUAAAUGAUGGGGAUGCGUUCCAUUAGAUUGUUGGCGGGGUAACGGCCCACCAAGUCUUCGAUGGAUAGGGGUUCUGAGAGGAAGGUCCCCCACAUUGGAACUGAGACACGGUCCAAACUCCUACGGGAGGCAGCAGUGAGGAAUAUUGGUCAAUGGGCGUUAGCCUGAACCAGCCAAGUAGCGUGAAGGAUGACUGCCCUAUGGGUUGUAAACUUCUUUUAUAAGGGAAUAAAACGGGGAACGUGUUCCCC